RNAcentral lists this ribosomal RNA (480 nucleotides) under Pseudomonas sp. Its description in RNAcentral is "bacterial SSU rRNA". It matches the Rfam family "Bacterial small subunit ribosomal RNA", at positions 55 to 531 of the family's 1533-position model. Lineage: Bacteria; Pseudomonadati; Pseudomonadota; Gammaproteobacteria; Pseudomonadales; Pseudomonadaceae. The record is from RNAcentral.
AUGCAGUCGAGCGGUAGAGAGAAUCUUGCUUCUCUUGAGAGCGGCGGACGGGUGAGUAAUGCCUAAGAAUCUGCCUGGUAGUGGGGGAUAACGCUCGGAAACGGACGCUAAUACCGCAUACGUCCUACAGGAGAAAGCAGGGGACCUUCGGGCCUUGCGCUAUCAGAUGACCCUAGGUCAGAUUAUCUAUUUGGUGGGGUAAUGGCUCACCAAGGCGACGAUCCGUAACUGGUCUGAGAGGAUGAUCACUCACACUGGAACUGAGACACGGUCCAGACUCCUACGGGAGGCAGCAGUGGGGAAUAUUGGACAAUGGGCGAAAGCCUGAUCCAGCCAUGCCGCGUGUGUGAAGAAGGUCUUCGGAUUGUAAAGCACUUUAAGUUGGGAGGAAGGGCAGUAACCUAAUACGUUGCUGUCUUGACGUUACCGACAGAAUAAGCACCGGCUAACUCUGUGCCAGCAGCCGCGGUAAUACAGAGG